Long non-coding RNA from Anopheles merus, 278 nucleotides. RefSeq lists it as uncharacterized. The record is from RefSeq and is a predicted model, not a curated record. Lineage: Eukaryota; Metazoa; Arthropoda; Insecta; Diptera; Culicidae. The transcript has 2 exons.
UUCGGUUGAUACAGUUGGGGCGCGCGUGCGGUGGAUGUUGUUCUUCUCUUUCUUCUUCCAUGCGUUUCGUAACACCUGUAAAUUGUGCUUCGCUUUACAGCCUAGCCACACAGCUUGCGCUCGCGCCUGUUCAGCGGAAAGCGUUUCGAAUGCUGCGUAUAGUGAGGGUGCCGUAUGAAAAUGAAGGAAAAUUUCCCCGAAAAUGAGUCAUAAGCUGAAAGCGCAAAAACGUUGCCAGCAACGUGGCAAAUUACACCAACGCGUGUUUGAAGGAAAUG